Molecule: unclassified non-coding RNA, 369 nt
Filed under: soil metagenome
Description: partial contains 5.8S ribosomal RNA, internal transcribed spacer 2, and large subunit ribosomal RNA
Rfam family: 5.8S ribosomal RNA (bases 5-119)
Source: RNAcentral
GAUGAGAACGCAGCGAAAUGCGAUAAGUAAUGUGAAUUGCAGAAUUCAGUGAAUCAUCGAAUCUUUGAACGCACAUUGCGCCCGCCAGCAUUCUGGCGGGCAUGCCUGUUCGAGCGUCAUUUCAACCCUCGAGCCCGACUCUUUUGAGGACGGCUCGGCGUUGGGGGACGGCAGACUCCCCCCGGCAUCUCGCCGGGGACGCCGCCCCCGAAAUCUAGUGGCGGCCCUCCGAGGCGACCUCUGCGUAGUAACUUGUUCUCGCACCGGAAAGCUCAGAGCGGCCACGCCGUAAAACCCCAACUUUUUUCAGGUUGACCUCGAAUCAGGUAGGACUACCCGCUGAACUUAAGCAUAUCAAUAAGCGGAGGA